Molecule: long non-coding RNA, 274 nt
Organism: Rhagoletis zephyria (snowberry fruit fly)
Lineage: Eukaryota; Metazoa; Arthropoda; Insecta; Diptera; Tephritidae
Source: RefSeq, a predicted model, not a curated record
AUUGAUCAACGACAAUCGGUGGCAUAUGGAAUGCGUGAUGGAAAUUUUCUGGUGCUUGAUAGCCAAUAUACUACAAGAUUACAUUAAGAAGCUAAUAGAGGGCAGAGCUGUUGGUGAGGAAGGUGUCGAGUUACUGCAGUACUGCAACUGGGAAAAUCCACAUUUCGCACGUGCCCCACUCGUAUGGAAUAGUAGCUUAUGUCAAAAUGUGGUUUUAGUAUAAUGCGGCAUCGCAGCAUACCCUCACUGGCACCGAGCCGUUGAAGAAAUUUUG